UUUUUUAUCCGGUCUUUACCCGCUUGCUUAUACCGUUGAAAACCACGGUACAAUUUAGUCAGGCUGAAAUCCCUCGCUCUCUCCUUCCUCUCCAGACGCACUCUCGGUCUCCAGACGUUCUCUCUUCCUCUCCAGACGCACUCUUGCUCUCUCGUCUGAAUCCCAGAUCCGCCCUCCCUCUGUUCUUGGAAAAUAUUAUUCUUCUUCCCAGAUAUAGCUCCUCGCGAGCAUGUCAGCCUCAGACGUUUGGAUUGCUGUGGCCCGAUCUCAACGACAGAUUGUUCUACAACGACGUCGUUCGAGCCUCCAAUUCCGAACUGACACUGAUCGAGUUCUACUCUAGCAAGUACAAUAAUUCAGCUCCAUUGCAAGGGUAAUCAGCUUAUACCAAAUUGCAUUCCAACAAUUUAAAUUAAUUUGAUUUAUUUACUGAUUUAUUUUUGCACUUUAAGCAAUAAAAAAAUGUUUAAUUUGAAGAACAGAUGAAAACUUUGUACUGAUAAUUGAGCAGUUUCUUCGUGAA
This is a non-coding RNA of Malus domestica (apple), 523 nucleotides long. NCBI's taxonomy places the organism in Eukaryota, Viridiplantae, Streptophyta, Magnoliopsida, Rosales, Rosaceae. The record is from RefSeq and is a predicted model, not a curated record.